AAAAAUCGUAAUGAAGGGUUCAUGAGCUGAGAUAAGGAUUAGGAGAAAACACUCUAAGGGCAAAACAGGCUCAAUCCAGAGGCAC
Corvus hawaiiensis (hawaiian crow) is the source of this 85-nucleotide long non-coding RNA. RefSeq lists it as uncharacterized. The transcript is spliced from 3 exons. The record is from RefSeq and is a predicted model, not a curated record. Lineage: Eukaryota; Metazoa; Chordata; Aves; Passeriformes; Corvidae.